RNAcentral lists this ribosomal RNA (254 nucleotides) under uncultured bacterium. Its description in RNAcentral is "partial small subunit ribosomal RNA". It matches the Rfam family "Bacterial small subunit ribosomal RNA", at positions 26 to 285 of the family's 1533-position model. The record is from RNAcentral.
AGGACGAACGCUGGCGGCGUGCUUAACACAUGCAAGUCGAGCGGAAAGGCCCUUCGGGGUACUCGAGCGGCGAACGGGUGAGUAACACGUGAGUAAUCUGCCCUUGACUCUGGGAUAGCUCCGGGAAACCGGGAUUAAUACCGGAUAUGACUGCCUUAGACAUCUUUGGUGGUGGAAAGUUUUUCGGUCAGGGAUGAGCUCGCGGCCUAUCAGCUUGUUGGUGGGGUAAUGGCCUACCAAGGCGACGACGGGUA